Molecule: long non-coding RNA, 604 nt
Filed under: Chinchilla lanigera (long-tailed chinchilla)
Lineage: Eukaryota; Metazoa; Chordata; Mammalia; Rodentia; Chinchillidae
Description: lncRNA (ENSCLAG00000027933.1)
Source: RNAcentral
GCAAACUGACAUUCUACCAUCACCUGUAUCCUCUAGAGUCAGGAUGCCUUCCAUAAAUGCUGUGGUUCACUUUUUUGUCUCGCAGUUCUAGUUGCCUGACACGUGGUCUGCCCUACCUCUGAGCACCUAUGGUCCUCCUCCUCCAUUUGAACUUACGAGGUCAAGGGUUUGCUCACUGGAUAGAAUGAGAGGAUCUUAAACUUUGGAGCCAGAUAGAACUUACAACCUCCUUCCAGGAAGAGAAGCCUCACUUGAACUCAAACAGAGAAGUACACCUGUACCUGCAGUCGUCCCAGUCAGCUCAGGUUCAGUCAUCCUGGCCAGGCAGCAGCAUCACUCACCUGACGGAAACAGUGAAGUCUAGUGGGACCUCAUGCAGCCAGGUCUUCCGCUCAUAUUUAUACUCCACUUGCAUCAUUGUCAGAAUUCAGGCACCGGCCACACUGAGAGGCACAGAGAUAAAUGUGGUUACACUACACAGAAGGAAGGUGGAGGAAUUGUGCCAUACCAAAAAGCCAGGUCCUGGAAUGAAGAUCCAUAAAUAUUUUGUUGUAUUUUAGUGACAAUCUAACCAAAAUAAAUUCAUUCAUUUCAGCUUGACUUU